Molecule: ribosomal RNA, 501 nt
Filed under: uncultured bacterium
Lineage: Bacteria
Description: partial 16S ribosomal RNA
Rfam family: Bacterial small subunit ribosomal RNA
Source: RNAcentral
AUUGAACGCUGGCGGCAGGCUUAACACAUGCAAGUCGAGCGGGGGAAGGUAGCUUGCUACCGGACCUAGCGGCGGACGGGUGAGUAAUGCUUAGGAAUCUGCCUAUUAGUGGGGGACAACAUCUCGAAAGGGAUGCUAAUACCGCAUACGUCCUACGGGAGAAAGCAGGGGAUCUUCGGACCUUGCGCUAAUAGAUGAGCCUAAGUCGGAUUAGCUAGUUGGUGGGGUAAAGGCCUACCAAGGCGACGAUCUGUAGCGGGUCUGAGAGGAUGAUCCGCCACCCUGGGACUGGAAAACGGCCCAGACUCCUACGGGAGGCAGCAGUGGGGAAUAUUGGACAAUGGGGGGAACCCUGAUCCAGCCAUGCCGCGUGUGUGAAGAAGGCCUUAUGGUUGUAAAGCACUUUAAGCGAGGAGGAGGCUACUCUAGUUAAUACCUAGGGAUAGUGGACGUUACUCGCAGAAUAAGCACCGGCUAACUCUGUGCCAGCCGCCGCCGUAA